GUUGUCUAAAAAAAAACUAAUUUUGAGGAAAAUUCCCAAAGUGAGUAUUGAUUUCACAUAGAUCUUCUUCCUUCACUUCCAUCAUCUCUCUCAAUCUCAGACUGCAGUAAUGUACGUGUAGCUCUGCGUUUGGAUUCCGGUUGAUUUCAAUAAUUCUACUCUCCUGAAGGUGAUUAACCCUAUUCAAAUGGCUCGCCAUGGGCAUCUACCUUCAGUAUUUCUCCUGAUCUUCUCGUUAUGCUUGAUCCGAAGCGUUCACGUUCACUCUAAAACCCUGAAACGUGACGUGAAAGCUCUGAAUGAAAUUAAGGCAUCUCUUGGAUGGAGAGUGGUGUAUGCAUGGGUUGGAGAUGAUCCUUGUGGAGAUGGUGAUUUACCUCCAUGGUCUGGUGUUACAUGUUCAACGCAGGGUGAUUAUAGAGUAGUUACUGAAUUGGAAGUUUAUGCUGUUUCAAUUGUUGGCCCAUUUCCUACUGCUGUCACUAAUUUAUUAGAUCUUACUAGACUGGAUCUGCAUAAUAACAAGCUGACCGGCCCUCUUCCUUCUCAAAUUGGGCGUUUGAAGCGUCUUAAAAUAUUAAACGUAAGGUGGAAUAAGCUGCAAGAUGUCAUUCCACCUGAAAUAGGUGAACUAAAGCAGCUAACACAUCUCUACCUAAGUUUUAAUAAUUUCAAAGGCGAAAUACCUAAGGAGCUUGCUAAUCUUCCUGAGCUUCGUUAUCUCCAUCUGCAUGAAAAUCAUUUUAUUGGAAGAAUUCCACCUGAGCUGGGUUCCUUACAGUAUCUUCGACACCUGGAUGUUGGUAACAAUCGUUUGGUUGGAACUAUAAGAGAACUCAUACGUAUUGAAGGAUGUUUUCCAGUUCUCCGCAACCUAUACUUGAACAAUAAUUAUCUUACUGGAGGCAUUCCAGCGCAACUUGCUAAUCUGACGAACUUGGAGAUCUUGUAUCUAUCCUACAACAAGAUGACAGGAGUUAUACCAUAUAGCAUUGCUCAUAUUCCUAAGUUAACUUACUUGUAUCUCGAUCACAAUCAAUUUUCUGGGAGGAUUCCAGAUGCCUUCUACAAACACCCUUUCUUGAAGGAAAUGUACAUUGACGAGAACACAUUCCGGCCUGGUGUAAAACCAAUCGGCCUGCAUAAAGUGCUAGAACUUUCAGACGCAGAUUUCCUUGUUUAGAAAAAGCCAAGUACUGUUAUUUAUUCAUGAGCAAAGUGUACCUAGGUUGUCGAAUGAAGCAGCCGGUCCCUGUUCUGUCAAGUGUCUAUUCUUUAGUUGCCAGAUGAGAAAAAAGGUUCCAUCUUUUUGUGCAAAGAAGUAAUCAACCAAACUUAGUUACUGUUGCUGUAGUUAAAUAGUACCACGUUAUGAAUCAUGAAGUAAUUGCGACGUACGUCUUGAUCAGUUCUCACUUGCCUUGAAUUCUUG
This 1432-nucleotide unclassified non-coding RNA is filed under the name Hevea brasiliensis (rubber tree). Lineage: Eukaryota; Viridiplantae; Streptophyta; Magnoliopsida; Malpighiales; Euphorbiaceae. The record is from RNAcentral.